Molecule: long non-coding RNA, 580 nt
Organism: Mesocricetus auratus (golden hamster)
Lineage: Eukaryota; Metazoa; Chordata; Mammalia; Rodentia; Cricetidae
Exons: 3
Source: RefSeq, a predicted model, not a curated record
CUUCCCACCCAGCCUUCCCACUACAGCACCGAUCCUUCCUAGAGAGGGUCUGUCCUGGGCUGGUACUCACUGGUUCUUCUCCAAUUCAAGCAGGAGAUCCUGGCCUUCAGCCACUAAAGCCACCAGCAGCACAUCUGGCUUCAAGACCUGACCGAGAAGGAAUGCAGUGACACACUAGGCCUCUAGGCCACCUGCCUGACAGGGAACAGCACGUUUAGAAUCAAGCUGGAACUGACCCAAUGGCUACCUUUCAUAGUGCCAGAAGAUGCUAUGCAGUUUUCUGGGGGAGAAAAGUCAUCAAUGGUAUUGCCCAAUGGUGAACCUUGAAUGCUACAAAAAUGAGCUGCCAGUUCCCCAAGGGACAUCAGGGAAGAGGGGACAGGAAGAAUGUAGGUGCUGGAGGAUGAGAGGAGUACUAUAAACUGCUGUGUUGUGGACAUGACGUGGCCAUUGCCCUCAUGAAUGCAGCAGUGGCUUCCUACACAAGACCAAACCAGCAAGAGCAGUCACCAUUCCAACAGGCAGCACCGAUUGGACUCCGAGUCAUAAAAAUAAAUAGUAAGUAAAUAAAUGAGAGGAC